AGAGAAUAGAUACCCCCGGUAGUCCCAGCCGUAAACGAUGCUCGCUAGGUGUCAGGCAUGGCGCGACCGUGUCUGGUGCCGCAGGGAAGCCGUGAAGCGAGCCACCUGGGAAGUACGGCCGCAAGGCUGAAACUUAAAGGAAUUGGCGGGGGAGCACAACAACGGGUGGAGCCUGCGGUUUAAUUGGACUCAACGCCGGACAACUCACCGGGGGCGACAGCAAUAUGUAGGCCAGGCUGAAGACCUUGCCUGAAUCGCUGAGAGGAGGUGCAUGGCCGUCGCCAGUUCGUACUGUGAAGCAUCCUGUUAAGUCAGGCAACGAGCGAGACCCGUGCCCACUGUUACCAGCAUAUUCUCCGGAAUGAUGGGUACUCUGUGGGGACCGCCGAUGUUAAACUCGGAGGAAGGUGCGGGCCACGGUAGGUCAGUAUGCCCCGAAUCUCCCGGGNUACACGCGGGCUACAAUGGAUGGGACAAUGGGUCCU
Molecule: ribosomal RNA, 485 nt
Filed under: uncultured bacterium
Lineage: Bacteria
Description: bacterial SSU rRNA
Rfam family: Archaeal small subunit ribosomal RNA
Source: RNAcentral